Molecule: microRNA precursor, 87 nt
Filed under: Paramuricea clavata
Lineage: Eukaryota; Metazoa; Cnidaria; Anthozoa; Malacalcyonacea; Plexauridae
Source: RNAcentral
AAUCGGUACAACAGUCUGUUUCAUCAGUAAAGAAUCAUCAGGCGGUAUACCGCCUGAUGAUUCUUUACUGAUGAAACAGACUGUUGU